UGACAUGGAUGCACUUUACCCUCUAUGCCUGUUGAGUUCUUUACAGAUGUCGUGACUUCAGUGGAUCUGACCACAGCAUUAGCACUGCACCUACAGGAUAGACACCACAGACGGCUCUCAGUUACUCCACAACGCUCUGAGCUUUUCAGUGUGCCACAGGGGUUUUGUGAUGGACAAGCUGUUGAUCGUCUCCGCUAUCUUGGCUGCACUUGCCAUCAGUGUGGAGGCUCACCAGUGGGUGCACGAUGUCUUGCACAUGUAUAGUGAGACCAUGGAUCAGAUCAGCAAAGCAGUUGGAGAAAAGUACCUCAGAACUGCAUACGAACUGGUAACUGAAACGUCGGUCGUUGUGAUAACUGCAACUGCCAACCUUACAGAGGAAAUCAUCAAAACUCUCUUCCCACGUGAUGCAAUUCAAUAAGCAGGUCAUUUAUUGUUGGAUUUUAAAACAUUGAAUAAAACAUGUCAAUACACAAACACGUACAAUAAAUACACAUUUUUUUCUAUAUGUAACUAUCAUUUCAGAACUACUUCAUUGGUUGUGUCAUGACACUUUUGUUGUGGAAUGAACAUUUUGGAUUCCUCUUCUGCUACUGUGAAGACAAAUGCAUGACGUCCCCUUUUUGGCUUGGUAUAUCACAAUGAUUCCGUAACCUGUUAGUCACAUCGAAUGACAUGCCUUAUCAAUUGUACGCAUACAAUUGUAAACAUAUCCACAUUAAACUGCUAUUAAGAAAUCA
Engraulis encrasicolus (European anchovy) is the source of this 740-nucleotide long non-coding RNA. RefSeq lists it as uncharacterized. The record is from RefSeq and is a predicted model, not a curated record. Lineage: Eukaryota; Metazoa; Chordata; Actinopteri; Clupeiformes; Engraulidae. The transcript is spliced from 4 exons.